GAAGUUUGACAUAUUAAAAAACUAAAUUGAUGAGAAAGACAAAACAUGAUUACUUAUUUUACAACACAAAAUCCAAUUAGAGAUUCAUGACUCUUCGUACUACUUUUGCAACUUAAACCCAAGCAUUCAAACUCCCAUUCUUUUACAUGAUGAGAAAUCAGUGGUAAACCAACCCAAAUUAAAGCAGCACGAAGUUACUCAAUAUGACAUAUACAUUAUACUUACAAAAAAACAAGUACAGAGGGAGGUAUCAUUUUAAUACACAAAUGACCACUUUCAAUGCCUAUAAAAUUUUAAUUGAGCUAGGCCCUAACAAGUUCCUAAAUUCCAGACUAACAAUGUUGGUAGUUCACCUCCGAGCCAUAGAUCUGUUAGAACAAACUCCAUAUAUAAGAGAUCCAUUAUAAGUUAACAACGAAUCAAACCCUAACAAAUACAUACUGCUCAUUCAAACACGUGCCUUUUCAUGAUUGUUUCUUAUUGUCACUCGAAUUUUCAGUAUGAUUUUAGACAUUACUCACAUCAAAUACUUCAAGAUCAAACCUCAGCUUGUAAUCAGAAAUGAAAAGGCACUCAUUAUCACAUGUUAAUGAACAACAAACUGAGAUUUUCAUAGCAAUGGAUCACCCAAAUAACAAUUACAUCAUUUGAGACCAAAUGCACAUACCUUAACAGCAGUAGUAGCAAAGAAACCAGGAAAAACAGAAGAAGAACUUUCUGAAACUUUGAAGAAGAAACAAAUAGCAACAAACAGUCAACAGUCAAGUGAGCUUGGGUCCAAAAAUUGAAGGUUCAACCACAAUAACAAAACCACGACAAGAAAGGGCAACCAAUUAACUUAAAACAGCCAUGAAGGAAAUCAAAACUCUAUUCUUGAACCUCUGAAAAUCCCAACAAAGACUUCAAAAAUAGAAGGAAACUCAAAAUUUUCUUAAGAAUCCUUUUUGGAGAAAUGGUUUUUUUCAUCUAUUUGCUUUUUCUAUCCUUU
RNAcentral lists this long non-coding RNA (988 nucleotides) under Nicotiana tabacum (common tobacco). RNAcentral's name for it is "long non-coding RNA (NTAB_LNC002417)". Lineage: Eukaryota; Viridiplantae; Streptophyta; Magnoliopsida; Solanales; Solanaceae. The record is from RNAcentral.